GUAGGUGAACCUGCGGAAGGAUCAUUACAGUAGUCACCCAGGUUGCCGCAAGGCCUCCUGGGUAACCUACCACCCUUUGUUUAUUACACUUUGUUGCUUUGGCAAGCCUGCCCUCGGGCUGCUGGCUCCGGCCGGCGAGCGCUUGCCAGAGGACCUAAACUCUGUUUGUCUAUACUGUCUGAGUACUAUAUAAUAGUUAAAACUUUCAACAACGGAUCUCUUGGUUCUGGCAUCGAUGAAGAACGCAGCA
RNAcentral lists this unclassified non-coding RNA (250 nucleotides) under plant metagenome. Its description in RNAcentral is "partial contains small subunit ribosomal RNA, internal transcribed spacer 1, and 5.8S ribosomal RNA". The stretch from base 201 to 250 matches the Rfam family "5.8S ribosomal RNA", at positions 1 to 50 of the family's 154-position model. The record is from RNAcentral.